CAUUCGAGUAGCCUAGGCUUGACUUGUUAUAUCUUACCCAUUGUUUUUUGCGUACCUAUUGUUUCCUCGGUGGGCUUCGCCCACCGAUUGGACAAAACUAUAAACCCUUUUGAAAGUCUGCAAUCAGCGUCUGAAAUUAUACAUAAUAGUUA
RNAcentral lists this unclassified non-coding RNA (152 nucleotides) under soil metagenome. Its description in RNAcentral is "partial internal transcribed spacer 1". The record is from RNAcentral.